Molecule: non-coding RNA, 96 nt
Organism: Pholiota molesta
Lineage: Eukaryota; Fungi; Basidiomycota; Agaricomycetes; Agaricales; Strophariaceae
Source: the annotation of a GenBank genome assembly
UCUCUGUUAGUAUAUCGGUUAGUACACGCGCCUGUCAUCCGAUAAGCAUCGUCCAUUGGUGCGCGCGAAAGCUGGGUUCGACUCCCAGACAGAGAG